AUUGAACGCUGGCGGCAUGCCUUACACAUGCAAGUCGAACGGCAGCACGGGUGCUUGCACCUGGUGGCGAGUGGCGAACGGGUGAGUAAUACAUCGGAACGUACCUUAUCGUGGGGGAUAACGCAGCGAAAGCUGUACUAAUACCGCAUACGCCCUGAGGGGGAAAGCGGGGGAUCGCAAGACCUCGCGCGAUUAGAGCGGCCGAUGCCUGAUUAGCUUGUUGGUGGGGUAAAAGCCCACCAAGGCGACGAUCAGUAGCUGGUCUGAGAGGACGAUCAGCCACACUGGGACGGGGACACGGCCCAGACUCCUACGGGAGGCAGCAGUGGGGAAUUUUGGACAAUGGGGGCAACCCUGAUCCAGCAAUGCCGCGUGAGUGAAGAAGGCCUUCGGGUUGUAAAGCUCUUUUGUCAGGGAAGAAACACCGGCUCUAACACAGUCCGGGAAUGACGGUACCUGAAGAAUAAGCACCGGCUAACUACGUGCCAGCAGCCGCCGUAA
RNAcentral lists this ribosomal RNA (501 nucleotides) under uncultured bacterium. RNAcentral describes it as "partial 16S ribosomal RNA". It matches the Rfam family "Bacterial small subunit ribosomal RNA", at positions 29 to 523 of the family's 1533-position model. The record is from RNAcentral.